Molecule: ribosomal RNA, 446 nt
Filed under: uncultured bacterium
Lineage: Bacteria
Description: SSU rRNA
Rfam family: Bacterial small subunit ribosomal RNA
Source: RNAcentral
AGAGCGAACGCUGGCGGCAGGCCUAACACAUGCAAGUCGAGCGCCCGUAGCAAUACGGGAGCGGCAGACGGGAUAGUAACACGUGGGAACGCGCCCUUCGGUUCGGAAUAACUCAGGGAAACUUGAGCUAAUACCGGAUACGCCCUUACGGGGAAAGAUUUAUUGCCGAAGGAACGGCCCGCGUCCGAUUAGCUAGUUGGUGAGGUAAUGGCUCACCAAGGCGACGAUCGGUAGCUGGUCUGAGAGGAUGACCAGCAUCACUGGGACUGAGACACGGCCCAGACUCCUACGGGAGGCAGCAGUGGGGAAUAUUGGACAAUGGGCGCAAGCCUGAUCCAGCCAUGCCGCGUGGAUGAUGAAGGCCUUAGGGUUGUAAAGUCCUUUUAACGGGAAGAUAAUGACGGUACCCGUAGAAUAAGCCCGGCUAACUUCGUGCCAGCAGCCGC